AGUCGAACGCUGAAGGCCAGCUUGCUGGGUUGGAUGAGUGGCGAACGGGUGAGUAACACGUGAGUAACCUGCCCCCUUCUUUGGGAUAACGGUCGGAAACGGCUGCUAAUACCGGGUAUUCACUGUCCUUCGCAUGGGGGGUGGUGGAAAGGUUUUUUCUGGUGGGGGAUGGGCUCGCGGCCUAUCAGCUUGUUGGUGGGGUGAUGGCUUACCAAGGCUUUGACGGGUAACCGGCCUGAGAGGGUGACCGGUCACAUUGGGACUGAGAUACGGCCCAGACUCCUACGGGAGGCAGCAGUGGGGAAUAUUGCACAAUGGGCGAAAGCCUGAUGCAGCGACGCCGCGUGAGGGAUGACGGCCUUCGGGUUGUAAACCUCUUUCGCUCAUGGUCAAGCCGCAACAGUGGUUGUGGUGAGGGUAGUGGGUAAAGAAGCACCGGCUAACUACGUGCCAGCAGCCGCGGUAAUACGUAGGGUGCGAGCGUUGUCCGGAAUUAUUGGGCGUAAAGGGCUUGUAGGCGGUUUGUCGCGUCUGCCGUGAAAUCCUCUGGCUUAACUGGGGGCGUGCGGUGGGUACGGGCAGGCUUGA
This 588-nucleotide ribosomal RNA is filed under the name uncultured Actinomycetes bacterium. RNAcentral describes it as "bacterial SSU rRNA". It matches the Rfam family "Bacterial small subunit ribosomal RNA", at positions 60 to 645 of the family's 1533-position model. Lineage: Bacteria; Bacillati; Actinomycetota; Actinomycetes. The record is from RNAcentral.